GUUACAUUCUUUACGAAGAAAAUUUUAGAGGACCUGGAAAUAUAAUGUCCCGACAUUCAUAUCUUGUGGCGAUAAUUGAGAACCUGGCGAGUGAAUGGAGGGAAGAGCAAAGGGAAAGUGUGUGCCCCCCUGCCCCAGAUCUCCGAGGACCAAUAGGACUCCGCAAGCUACCAGGCAGAAGUCAAUACCGCUGCAUCGUAUGCAGCACUCCUAAAGAAAAAAGAACUUCCACAACAGUUUGCACACGUUGCGGAAAAGGAUUGCACGCGUUGUGCCUGAUAAAACAUCGCUGCUAGCACAAAGAUAUCAUCUCUUGGAUUUCAAUGGAUUUGCAAUUUUUCCUUAAGCAUGUGUGCUAGCAGAAAAGAUUUGGCCCUCAUAAGAUAUUUCUGCUUUUUCCUCUAUUUAUUUUAUUUUUUGAUAUGAAUGUCGGGAUAGUAUUAUGUAAUAAUAAUUCUAUGGUGACCUUAUAACGAUACAUUGUUCUUUUAAGUAUAUAUUACAAUUGUAAGAUAUUGUACCUUAAUACAACUGGUAAUCUUGUGUGAUAAAAAUUUGAUAUUUGAUUGAUGUGAUGUGACAGAGUGGAUUAGCAGACAGGUUUUCGAAGUAAUAUAUAAGAAAAAUAUUUCUAAAAACUUAAACUUUAUAAGUUUUUAUAAAAUUAAAAUAAAACUUUUUAUAUGAUUUGUAUUUUAAUUACUUAAACAAAUUGGAAAAUUAGAAAUUACUUAAAGCGUCAUGUAAUUUUAAGGUGUUUGGUGUUAGUUUUACCAGCACAAGAGAACAUUUUCGAAAGCUUGUCAGAUAAUAAAUGUAAAAUAAAACCAGAAAA
This is a long non-coding RNA of Centruroides sculpturatus (bark scorpion), 835 nucleotides long. RefSeq lists it as uncharacterized. The transcript has 3 exons. Lineage: Eukaryota; Metazoa; Arthropoda; Arachnida; Scorpiones; Buthidae. The record is from RefSeq and is a predicted model, not a curated record.